Molecule: long non-coding RNA, 3014 nt
Filed under: Mus musculus (house mouse)
Lineage: Eukaryota; Metazoa; Chordata; Mammalia; Rodentia; Muridae
Description: long non-coding RNA chr2:121920084-121923098
Source: RNAcentral
GUUCUAGGCCUGCCAAGGCUACACUGUAAGACCCUGUUCCAAUCAAUCGAUCAACCAAUCAAUAAACAAAUAAAUAAGGCUAAACAAUGAGACCUUGUUUAAAUAAAUACAUAAGUAAAAAAAAACAAAUUUCAAUAUUUUUGAGAAUUUCAUACAAUGUGUUUGGAUCAUUGACCCCUGCCCUAAAUCUUCAGAUUCAUGCCACUUCCUGACCACCCAGUUUUGUCUUUCAUGUUGCCUAUGUAUUCUUUGUGUGGCCUUCCACUUUAGUGUGGUUUACUUGGUAGAGAACUACACUCUUAAAACUUUGACUUCUCCUGCCAGGCAGUGGUGGUACAUGCCUUUGGGUAGAAGCAGGUGGAUCUCAGAGUUUGAGGCCAGCCUGGUCUACAAAGGGAGUUCCAGGACAGCCAGGGCUAUACAGAGAAACCCUAAACCAUAAAAGGAAAAAAACAAAACAAAACAAACAAACAAACAAACAAACAACACCUGACUUCUCCCUUCCCCAGCAGUUCUCAGUUGCCAGUAGUUCCUUAGCUGUGGAUGUGACUUGGUGCCUGUCUCAGCUCUCCUUGUUGGGAUUUGUUUCUGCUGUCAACAACUGUUUGAGUUCAUAGGUUUAUAUAUAGCUGCCCUGUUAGUUCAUAAGACACUGUGUCCUUACAGUCAUCCUCCACCUCCUCUUACAUCCUUUUUUCCCCAUUUUCCACAAUGAUUCCAGAGCUGUGAGAGGAUGAGGAGGUCUGAUAUACAUUGCCUCAUUUAGGGUUAGACAUUCUGCAGUCUUACUCUUUGUGCCUUGACCAAUCGUGAGUAUCUGCAUUCAUCAUAAUCUCGUAGGAUUUAGUACUUCACUGAUGAGGGCUGAGAGACAGAUCAUCUGCCUAUAUAAUGAUAAGCCACUGGGAGUUGGUCCAGCACUAUGUCUGUUUUGGAGAAUAAUGGUUUUUCCUGUCGGGCCUAUGACCUGUGCAGCCACAGGUUCUUGUCUCCAGUAAUAGUGCAAGGUAUGGGUUUCAUUUUGUGGAACAGGCCUUACAUCUGAUCAGAAAAUAGUUACUUCUAUGAUGUUGAUGUCACUGCUCCUUCUGUGGGCUUGUCUUGCCAGACCAUUCCUUAUGGUAGCUCUCGGGGUUCACGGCUGGAUAAGACUGAUGAUCACAGGGUUCACAGCUGGAUGAGACCAGUGAUGACUUGUCUGCUCCAGUAGUGUGCAUAGCACCUUCCUGCUCUGUGCAAGCUAGCCAGUAGCGAUAAAGCUUCCACAUCAGACUGCUAUGAGGAUUGCAGGUCUUGACUUACACCUCAUUUCCGUACAUGUUAAACCUUGGACUGCUGCUCAGGUGCUGGGAACAGAGUCCAGGGCAUGCACAUAGUAGGCAUGUGCUCUACCACCCAGUUCAUAAGCCCAAGACUGUCAUUUGGAAGUGGAAAUACUCUUUAAUAGUGCUUAUUAUGUUUUUAGCAAGCCUUUACCAUAUUUUGAACUGCCACUCUAUGAUCACGAAUUUGGUACAGCCCUAACUCAUGUCUACAUUAUCUGUCCAUGUCAGUUUCUCUUCUCAUACUACUUCAAGCCAUAGAGCAUACUUAAUUAGUAUAUACAGCUUGUCACGUUGUUCUGUAAGUCUCUGUUUACUUUGUCUUCUCACUACAAUAGUGACUCUGAUAGCAUUAGUGCCUCACUUCUUGUUUUCCCAGCCUAGCAAGCAUUUAAGCACUCAUAAAGAUGUCCUAUCAGUAUUUUAACUUUAUUUCUUUAGAUAAACAAUGAAAUUAUUAACAUAAUCAUACUUAAUGUAUAGUUAAUGUCUUCAUUUUAUAUGUUUUAUAAAGAUUCUUAAUCCUGAACUUUUUGUAUUCUCUUAUACUUAAAAAUUAUAAGGCCCACACUCCUUUAAUCUUGAAACUCCUGAGGCCCAGACAGUUCCCGAACAGUCUGAUUUACAAGUGAGCUCUAGACCAGUCAGAGCUACAAAGUGAUAGAUAGAUAACCUGUCUCAAGAAAAUAAAUGAGUGUGUGUGUGUGUGUGUGUGUGUGUGUGUGUGUGUGUGUUUUAAUCAGUAGGGUAGAGGGGCUCACUAGUGGACUAGCCUAACUGAAAUGAAGAACUCCAGAUGCAGUUAGGGGAUUCUUUUAUCUUAAGGUGGGAGGGGUUUGGGGACAGCUAGGGAUGAGCUCUGAGGUUAAGAGUGCCUACACUUUUGCAGAAGACCUGAGUUGGUUUUCCAGCACCUAUGUUUCACAGCCACCUAUAUCUCCAGCUCCAAAGAAUCCAACAUCUUCUGACCUACACAGGCAUCCUGUACACAUCACACUCACCACACACACAUACAGACACACACAUCACAAACACAACAAACACAAUAAAUAAACAAACAAAUCUAAAAGGGGCAGGGGAGAGAUGUCUCAGCAUUUAAGAGUACAUAUCCCCUUUGAAGAGAAUCUGAAUUUGGUUUACAGUCCCCACAUCAGUAACUUACAACUGCCUAUAUGGAACUCUGCCUAUAUAGAACCCACAUCAGUAACUUACAACUGCCUAUAUGGAACUCUGGCUUCAGAGGAUUCCCACUCCUAUGUGCUCUGUGAGUACCAAGACACACCUGCACAAACAUUCACACACAUACUACACAGAGAGAGACAGAGACAGAAACAGAAAAAAGAUUGUUAUAAUUCCCAAGUAGAAAUGAAUUAGAAAUAGAAAUGAAAUAGGCGAAUUUAUUGAGGACCUGAAUUCCAUCCCUAAAAGGCACAUGGUAGGGGUAGAGAGGGCCAAGCUGUACUUUGACCAACACGUACACACUGAAGCAGGUGUGUGAACACACACACUAAAUAAAUGUAAUGAAUAUAGGGGAUUGUUGGAUGGUGGUGGCAUACUCCUUUAAUCCCAGCACUUGAAAAGCAGAGACAGUUGAUCUCUGUGAGGUUUGAGACUAGCCUGAUCUACACAGUUCAAGUAUAGCCAGGACUGCACAAAGAAACCUGUUUUGAAAAAACACAACCUCCUUCUCCC